This 409-nucleotide ribosomal RNA is filed under the name Trachylepis elegans (elegant mabuya). Its description in RNAcentral is "partial 16S ribosomal RNA". It matches the Rfam family "Bacterial large subunit ribosomal RNA", at positions 1987 to 2597 of the family's 2925-position model. The record is from RNAcentral. Lineage: Eukaryota; Metazoa; Chordata; Lepidosauria; Squamata; Scincidae.
CCUGUAUGAACGGCUAAAUGAGGACAAACCUGUCUCUUAUAACCAAUCAGUGAAACUGAUCUCCCAAUACAAAAGUUGGGAUGUACACAUAAGACGAGAAGACCCCGUGGAGCUUAAAACAAACUACCAAUCUAAACGACCCUGGUAUGCUGUUUUGAGUUGGGGCGACUUCGGAACAAAACAAAACUUCCGAGCACAGAACCACCACUUCUAACUAAGGCCAACAAGCCUAAGUUUAACCUGACCCGGCCUCGCGCCGAUCAACGAACCAAGUUACCCCGGGGGUAACAGCGCUAUCUUCUUCAAGAGUCCCUAUCAACAAGAAGGUUUACGACCUCGAUGUUGGAUCAGGACACCCUAAUGGUGCAGCCGCUAUUAACGGUUCGUUUGUUCAACGAUUAACAGUCCU